This 263-nucleotide ribosomal RNA is filed under the name uncultured Anaerolineaceae bacterium. RNAcentral's name for it is "partial 16S ribosomal RNA". It matches the Rfam family "Bacterial small subunit ribosomal RNA", at positions 1106 to 1382 of the family's 1533-position model. Lineage: Bacteria; Bacillati; Chloroflexota; Anaerolineae; Anaerolineales; Anaerolineaceae. The record is from RNAcentral.
CGCUGUGUGUUACAAGUGUCACACGGAACUGCCGGUCAUAAACCGGAGGAAGGUGGGAUGACGUCAAGUCAGCAUGGCCUUUAUAUCCUGGGCUACACACACGCUACAAUGGGAAGGGACAAUAGGUUGCGAAGCCGCGAGGCGGAGCCAAUCCAGCAAAACUUCCCUCAGUUCAGAUUGCAGGCUGCAACUCGCCUGCAUGAAGUUGGAGUUGCUAGUAAACGCAGGUCAGCCAUACUGCGUUGAAUACGUUCCCGGGGCUU